GUCUCUGCACCUCCUGCCCACUGAGCGAGGGGCCCAAGCUGCCCUGGUCCCUGAGCUGGCUCUGCUUGGGCAGCACGAGGGCAUCCAUCAGCUUGUGCUGGUUUUAAACAGCUGAUAUGGAUGCAGACUCACUCCUGGUUUCAGGCAGAAGGAAAUCCUUUCUGAUAAGCUGCUGCUUUUUCAAACAGACGAUAAAGCUCUGCAGGUAGAACUCCCUGUGCUAGCAGUUUGACCCCUAAUGAAGUAUUUACCAGGAUGGCACCUUGCUCUGCCUCAGGAAAUACUGUCCUUUCACCUGUGUGCAGCUCUCAGGUCUUUUGCAAAGCCCACGGUUUAAGGAGAGCAUCAAAGCAGCCAGCAAUCCUCUCCUUCCCCUUCUCAAUCUCUCUCCAUUCCCACUGCGGAUGCGGUUUGCCAGAGACCCUGGGGCUCUGCACCUUGGAGAGCAAAGGGCUUGUAGGAGAGCUGCACAUCAUUGUGUUUGGGAUGCUGUGUCCUCCCUGCUGCAAUCAGAGCAGCGACAUGGAACCAGGAGGGUGGUGAGCCUGGUGGAAAUGCCACUCCUGCUGCCUCGGGACCGGACAUCUUCCUCUGCCACGCUGCCCCGACCUUUGUGGUGAGGUUGUGCAUGGAGAAAUGUGCUGAACCACCCCGUUGCCAUGGAAACCAAGGCCGAGAGGGGACCAGCCUGCUCCUGCUAAUUGCUGUGGCUUUGUGACCCCAUCCGUCCAUCCUGCUGCCUCCCGUGAGCCUGUCCGAAUGCACAGCGCUGGCCCCAUCCUGCAUCAUCCUGCCCUUUGGCUCCCAGCCCCAAUGCUGUGAGCAGGAUCUGGGGUUCCUCUUUCUCUCCUUUGUGUUGUCACAACCUGCACAAGAUCAGUUAAAAUCCGUGGCUUGAGCAUCCCUGCAGCCCAUCACCCCGUGCGUGCACAUCUGCCUGCAUGCUUGUUGCAGGAGCACGGUGGCGGUGCAGUGAUGCACCUCCCUUGCCCUGCAUCCCGGGCUGCCCUGCCUUUAUCUCGUCCAAUUAAAUAACUGCAGAUAGUGGGCUUAAUAAGGCCCUGCUAUGAAAGAUUACUGACGAUUUCUUUCCCAACGUGCGGUGAAUUAGGAGGCAGUGAGCAGGGAAAGGACUGCUGCUAAUUACAGUCCCCCAUGUCCCCUCUGCUGCCACCACUGCUGCUGGGCCCCUCGCUGCUCCCUGCACCUGAUUGCAUUUUGCUGCUGGUUGUGGCCAAUUUGCAGCUCUCAGCUGCUGCUGCUUCUCCCUUCCCCCCACGCCCCCUGCUCCUCUUCGAGUUUAUUAAUGAAAACCUUAUCUGUCGGUGCAGAUAAUGCCAGAAAUAAUUAGUGCACACGGAGGGCUGGCAGGCUGCUCUCUGCUCCCACCACCCACACCCUCUCCUCUCACUGUUUACAGUUUCCUGUGCUGCUU
Molecule: long non-coding RNA, 1435 nt
Filed under: Gallus gallus (chicken)
Lineage: Eukaryota; Metazoa; Chordata; Aves; Galliformes; Phasianidae
Description: long non-coding RNA NONGGAT002945
Source: RNAcentral